This 484-nucleotide ribosomal RNA is filed under the name uncultured bacterium. Its description in RNAcentral is "bacterial SSU rRNA". It matches the Rfam family "Bacterial small subunit ribosomal RNA", at positions 26 to 507 of the family's 1533-position model. The record is from RNAcentral.
AGGAUGAACGCUAGCUACAGGCUUAACACAUGCAAGUCGAGGGGUAGCAGGGUAGCAAUACCGCUGACGACCGGACGCACGGGUGAGUAACACGUAUCCAACCUUCCCAUAACUCUGGGAUAGCCUUUCGAAAGAAAGAUUAAUACCGGAUGGUACUUUUCAAGGCAUCUUGAGAAAGUUAAAGAUUUAUUGGUUAUGGAUGGGGAUGCGUUCCAUUAGAUAGUUGGUGAGGUAACGGCUCACCAAGUCUUCGAUGGAUAGGGGUUCUGAGAGGAAGGUCCCCCACAUUGGUACUGAGACACGGACCAAACUCCUACGGGAGGCAGCAGUGAGGAAUAUUGGUCAAUGGGCGAGAGCCUGAACCAGCCAAGUAGCGUGAAGGAUGAAGGUCCUAUGGAUUGUAAACUUCUUUUAUAGUAGAAUAAAGUGAUCCACGUGUGGAUUUUUGUAUGUAUACUAUGAAUAAGGAUCGGCUAACUCCGUG